AAUCCACCACUCCAUUACUGCCCUGGUCUGGAAUGGGCGUAUGAAGAGCUGAAGCGGCAGCAGAGAGAAAACCUGUCAGCAGGUGAGGCAUCCUACAGCUCUGAAAUCUAAUGUGCUCUCAUUAGCAGGGCCAUGUUGCUUCUUGUGAUAUACUAAACUUUCUAUGAUUUCUGAAUCUGUUGUAAGACAUACAAGUAAGUUUGUAAGUGUUUGAAAGUGUUGGACUUUUUUCAAAUACUCUCCGAUAAUAAUGUUGAACUGAAUGGUGGCUUGUGUUCUUAAAGUUUUUCCCUAUAAGCAGGCUGUAUCUGCUGAUCUGUAGACACAUGGGGAGAUAUGCAGUGAUUGGUUAUGUUU
This 357-nucleotide unclassified non-coding RNA is filed under the name Hevea brasiliensis (rubber tree). Lineage: Eukaryota; Viridiplantae; Streptophyta; Magnoliopsida; Malpighiales; Euphorbiaceae. The record is from RNAcentral.